GCGAACAGCUCAGUAAUACAUAGUUAAUUUGCCCUUAGGUCUUGAAUAAUCCCGAGAAAUUGGGUCUAAUACAAGAUAGGUAAAAAUUCCUGGAACGGUUUUUUACCUAAAGUUUCGGCGCCUAAGGAUAAGACUGUGGCCCAUCAGGUUGUUGCUAAGGUAACGUCUUGGCAAGCCUAUAACGGGUACGAGCCUUGAGAGAGGAAACUCGGAGAUGGAUUCUGAGACAAAAAUCCAGGUCCUACGGGAUGCAGCAAGCGCGAAAAUUCCACAAUGCACGUAAGUGUGAUGGAGGGAUUCAGAGUGAAUCUUUCUUUUUGGAAGGUUCUUUUGUUAAGUUUAAACCGCUUAUCGAAUAAGCGGUGGGUAAGACAGGUGCCAGCCGCCGCGGUAAUACCUGCGCCGCAAGUGGUGACCUCGUUUAUUGGGUUUAAAGUGUUCGUAGCCGGUUUGGUAAGUUUCUAAUGAAAUUCCAUGGACAACUAUGGAUCUUGUUGGAGAUACUACCAAGCUAGAGACCGGGAGAGGCUGAGGGUAUUUCUGGGGUAAGGGUUAAAUCUUGUAAUCCUAGGAGGACCGCCUGUGGCGAAGGCGCUCAGCUAGAACGGAUCUGACGGUGAGGGACGAAAGCUAGGGGAGCAAAGGGGAUUAGAUUUGGACAUGGAAAACAAAUGUUAUUUUUAUAUUUCCCUGUCCACUAAAAACCCCCGUAGUCCUAGCCGUAAACGAUAUCCACUAGAUGUUGGAUGUCUUACGAGGGCAUCCAGUUUCGUAGGGAAACCGUUAAGUGGAUCGCCUGGGGAGUAUGGUCGCAAGGCUGAAAUAGAAGAAAUCGUCAUAAUUAUCUAUUAACAGCGACCAUCUUAAACCAACUGGAGAAGAACCUUAAAUCGAAUUUGAAAAUAAUAGAUUUCUUCUACAGCAAACUUAAGGGAAUUGGCGGGGGAGCACACAAGGGGUGGAGGCUGCGGUUUAAUUCGAUUCAACGCGAGGAACCUCACCAGAAGCGACAGCAGAAUGAAGGUCAGGCUGAUGGUCUUACCAGACACGCUGAGCGGAGCUGCAUGGCCGUCGUCAGUUCGUGUCGUGAGAUGUCGACUUAAGUGUCGUAACGAACGAGACCCGUACCCUACGUUACUAGUGUCACAUCCGUGGCAUGUACUCAUAGGGGACCGCUUGCGAAAAGUAAGAGGAAGGAACGGUCAACGGCAGGUCAGUAUGGUCUUAAUCUUCUGGGUUACACGCGGCCUACAAUGGUCGGGACAAUGAGAUGCCACUCCGAAAGGAAGAGCUAAUCUCCAAACCCGAUCUUAGUUCGGAUUGAGGGCUGCAACCCGCCCUCAUGAAGCCGAAAUCCCUAGUAAUCGCUUGUCACCAUCCAGCGGUGAAUAUGUUCCUGCUCCUUGCACACACUGCCCGUCAAGCCAACUGAGUGGGGUUUUG
This 1443-nucleotide ribosomal RNA is filed under the name uncultured euryarchaeote. Its description in RNAcentral is "16S ribosomal RNA". It matches the Rfam family "Archaeal small subunit ribosomal RNA", at positions 81 to 1376 of the family's 1478-position model. Lineage: Archaea; Methanobacteriati; Methanobacteriota. The record is from RNAcentral.